RNAcentral lists this unclassified non-coding RNA (71 nucleotides) under Desulfofundulus australicus DSM 11792. Lineage: Bacteria; Bacillati; Bacillota; Clostridia; Eubacteriales; Peptococcaceae. The record is from RNAcentral.
AACCGCCGGAUGCGGACCCGCAUGUCCGGUGGUGUGAGAGGACGGGGGCUAGCCGCCUCCUCCUACUCGAU